AUCCCACCGAGGCCACCAUAGACCAGCCAGCCCUCAGCGUACAUGCCAGCUAAUUACAGAUGCAGGAGCAAACCCCUGGCCCAUACAUCAAUUUUAAUGUCAUUGAAUACAGAGAACAAAUCUCAUUCACUUUGGUAUCGGCUGGAGUCAACAAACAUUUAAAAAUCAUUUACUGCGUCUGAUUUUGGGUAUGUUGAAUUGGUGACGUCUGAGUUGCUUCUGGUCUAUCCUGAUAGAAACAUACAGUAAACAGAGAAAAAAAAGGAUCUCAGGUGAGAUGAUGUAUGGGAAUGCUCAGCAUACAGAAUGAAUGGAUAAGAGGCCUGAAAACAUAAUCCUGUAAACAACCAUAUUGAAAGAGAAGACAGAAGACAUCAAACAGAUGGAGUUUCGCUCUUGUUGCCCAGGCUGGAGUGCAACGGCACGAUCUCAGCUCACCGCAACCUCAGCCUCCCAAGUUCAAGCAAUUCUCCUGCCUCAGCGUCCUGAGUAGCUGGAAUUACAGGAUUUUGGAAGCAUUGCCUUCUACAGAAUCCACAGUAGUCCGAAGCUCUUCUACGGUUUUUGUCAAACUUUGAUUUUCCAUCUCUAGCUUCAAUAAUCUACUUGAUGUCAACUCAUUCACCUCAUGGCCCAGGGAUUUCUGGGGUGCUAUAAUAUUGAAAAAUACACCAUUGUAUUUACUCUUUACUGUUUUUACUAUGUUUACUCUUUACUAUUUAAAAAGUUGAGUGUAUAUGCAUUG
This 745-nucleotide long non-coding RNA is filed under the name Homo sapiens (human). RNAcentral's name for it is "HSALNT0302569". The record is from RNAcentral. Lineage: Eukaryota; Metazoa; Chordata; Mammalia; Primates; Hominidae.